Molecule: ribosomal RNA, 750 nt
Filed under: uncultured Gammaproteobacteria bacterium
Lineage: Bacteria; Pseudomonadati; Pseudomonadota; Gammaproteobacteria
Description: bacterial SSU rRNA
Rfam family: Bacterial small subunit ribosomal RNA
Source: RNAcentral
CAAGUCGAACGGCAGCACAGUUUGUAGCAAUACAGAUGGGUGGCGAGUGCGCGGACGGGUGAGUAAUACGUAGGGAUCUGCCUUGAAGAGGGGGAUAACCCGGGGAAACUCGGGCUAAUACCGCAUACUACUCUGAGGAGGAAAAGCUUGGUGAAAGCCAGGCGCUUUAAGAGGAACUUACGGCCGAUUAGCUAGUUGGUAGGGUAAAGGCCUACCAAGGCGAUGAUCGGUAGCUGGUCUGAGAGGAUGAUCAGCCACACUGGGACUGAGACACGGCCCAGACUCCUACGGGAGGCAGCAGUGGGGAAUAUUGGACAAUGGGGGCAACCCUGAUCCAGCGAUGCCGCGUGUGUGAAGAAGGCCUUCGGGUUGUAAAGCACUUUAGGUUGGGACGAAGGUUUGUUUGUGAAUAGCGAACAAGCUUGACGGUACUGACAGAAUAAGCACCGGCUAACUCUGUGCCAGCAGCCGCGGUAAUACAGAGGGUGCGAGCGUUAAUCGGAGUUACUGGGCGUAAAGGGCGCGUAGGCGGUGAUUUAAGUGAGAUGUGAAAUCCCCGGGCUUAACCUGGGAAUUGCAUUUUAGACUGAGUUACUGGAGUACAGUAGAGGGUGGUGGAAUUUCCGGUGUAGCGGUGAAAUGCGUAGAGAUCGGAAGGAACAUCAGUGGCGAAGGCGACCACCUGGACUGAAACUGACGCUGAGGCGCGAGAGCGUGGGGAGCAAACAGGAUUAGAUACCCUGGUAGUCC